GACGAACGCUGGCGGCGUGCUUAACACAUGCAAGUCGAACGGAAAGGCCCUGCUUUUGUUGGGUGCUCGAGUGGCGAACGGGUGAGUAACACGUGAGUAACCUGCCCUUGACUUUGGGAUAACUUCAGGAAACUGGGGCUAAUACCGGAUAGGAGCUCCUGCUGCAUGGUGGGGGUUGGAAAGUUUCGGCGGUUGGGGAUGGAAUCGCGGCUUAUCAGCUUGUUGGUGGGGUAGUGGCUUACCAAGGCUUUGACGGGUAGCCGGCCUGAGAGGGUGACCGGCCACAUUGGGACUGAGAUACGGCCCAGACUCCUACGUGAGGCAGCAGUGGAAAGUAUGGCACAGUGGGCGGAAGCCUGAUGCAGCAACGCCGCGUGCGGGAUGACGGCCUUCGGGUUGUAAACCGCUUUCGCCGGUGACGAGGCGUGAUUGACGGUAAUGGGUAAAGAAGCACCGGCUAACUACGUG
RNAcentral lists this ribosomal RNA (468 nucleotides) under uncultured bacterium. Its description in RNAcentral is "partial 16S ribosomal RNA". It matches the Rfam family "Bacterial small subunit ribosomal RNA", at positions 28 to 507 of the family's 1533-position model. The record is from RNAcentral.